Non-coding RNA from Pelobates cultripes (western spadefoot toad), 464 nucleotides. The record is from the annotation of a GenBank genome assembly. Lineage: Eukaryota; Metazoa; Chordata; Amphibia; Anura; Pelobatidae.
CUUGUGCAGUGCUCAUAAUUCUCCUCUUCUGUGAUCAUAAAUUUUUCAUCACGCUGUGCUUUUUCCAUUCCCACUUCCAUCCAAAUACAAAUGCCCUUAUAUUUGGAAAAAAAGCUAAAAAAUAUAUAAAACAAAUUAUAAAACCAAACACAGGCAAAUAAAUCCAAUCUGUUGUCUAAAACAACUAAAGUCUCUGUCUUCAUUCAUACCUGUUGGAUAUAAUGGGUUUAAUUUGUACAUUUGGUUUGACAUUUCUUUCUGUCUGAGAAGUUUUAAUCUGUUCCCACUUCGAGGGGGACUUUUUCUUUAUCCCCAGGAAUUGAAGUUGGGACACACGGUGUCCAGCUUCCAUAAAAUGACGGACUACUGAUGAAGUCACUACACCAGUUCUAAUGGCACUUUUAGGUUCUCUAUGCGGGUAGUCAGGGCACUGCUCGUUUGUCUUACAUAGCACUUGCCACAAG